RNAcentral lists this ribosomal RNA (253 nucleotides) under uncultured bacterium. RNAcentral describes it as "partial 16S ribosomal RNA". It matches the Rfam family "Bacterial small subunit ribosomal RNA", at positions 524 to 776 of the family's 1533-position model. The record is from RNAcentral.
UACGAAGGACCCAAGCGUUAUCCGGAUUUAUUGGGUUUAAAGGGUGCGUAGGCGGAUUAUUAAGUCAGUGGUGAAAGCCUGCAGCUUAACUGCAGAAUUGCCAUUGAUACUGAUGAUCUUGAGUAUGAUUGAGGUGGGCGAAAUGUGUCAUGUAGCGGUGAAAUGCUUAGAUAUGACACAGAACACCGAUUGCGAAGGCAGCUCACUAAGCCAUAACUGACGCUGAUGCACGAAAGCGUGGGGAGCAAACAGG